This 404-nucleotide ribosomal RNA is filed under the name Actinomycetes bacterium. RNAcentral describes it as "Actinobacteria bacterium partial 16S ribosomal RNA". It matches the Rfam family "Bacterial small subunit ribosomal RNA", at positions 355 to 776 of the family's 1533-position model. The record is from RNAcentral. Lineage: Bacteria; Bacillati; Actinomycetota; Actinomycetes.
UGGGGAAUAUUGGACAAUGGGCGCAAGCCUGAUCCAGCCAUGCCGCGUGAGUGAUGAAGGCCCUAGGGUUGUAAAGCUCUUUCACCGGUGAAGAUAAUGACGGUAACCGGAGAAGAAGCCCCGGCUAACUUCGUGCCAGCAGCCGCGGUAAUACGAAGGGGGCUAGCGUUGUUCGGAUUUACUGGGCGUAAAGCGCACGUAGGCGGACUUUUAAGUCAGGGGUGAAAUCCCGGGGCUCAACCCCGGAACUGCCUUUGAUACUGGAAGUCUUGAGUAUGGUAGAGGUGAGUGGAAUUCCGAGUGUAGAGGUGAAAUUCGUAGAUAUUCGGGGGAACACCAGGGGCGAAGGCGGCUCACUGGACCAUUACUGACGCUGAGGUGCGAAAGCGUGGGGAGCAAACAGG